UUAUCUCUGUAGAGUCUGCAUAUCAAUAAGCGGAGGAAAAGAAACUAACAAGGAUUCCCUAGUAACGGCGAGUGAAGCGGGAAGAGCUCAAAUUUGAAAUCUUCAAGGUUUUACCUUGACGAAUUGUAGUUUAAAGAAGUGUUUUCGGUUAGAGGAGUAGUAAAAGUUCUUUGGAAUAGGACAUCAUAGAGGGUGAGAAUCCCGUAUUUGACUAUUCUUUCUAGCUUUGUGAUACACUUUCAAAGAGUCGGAUUGUUUGGGAAUGCAGUCCAAAAUGGGUGGUAAAUUUCAUCUAAAGCUAAAUAUUGGCGAGAGACCGAUAGCGAACAAGUACCGUGAGGGAAAGAUGAAAAGAACUUUGAAAAGAGAGUUAAACAGUACGUGAAAUUGUCAAAAGGGAAGCGUUUGACACCAGUGUUGUUUUUCCGAAAAUCAAUUAAGAAUGUUUUAUUUUUGAGGAGUUAUGACUUCAUCGGCUUGCUCCUUUCUUUAUGAAACUUUCUUAAUGCACUUUUCGGUUAACAAGUCAACAUCAAUUUCUUUUGUUGUAAAAGGGUAUGAGGAAGGUGGCUUUCUUUUCGGAGAAAGUGUUUAUAGCCUUGUGCCUCUGCAAUCGGAGAGAUUGAGGUCUGCAGCGUAGAUCCUUCGGGGUUAGAUGCACUUGUGCUAAGCUAUAGCCUUUCAUAGACAACUUGUUGACUAUGAUCAGUCAUGUAGCUUACUCGCUUAUGUCAUUUUACCUACGCUUAGGAUGUUGAUGUGAUACUGCGAGCA
RNAcentral lists this ribosomal RNA (774 nucleotides) under uncultured Neocallimastigales. RNAcentral's name for it is "partial large subunit ribosomal RNA". It matches the Rfam family "Eukaryotic large subunit ribosomal RNA", at positions 24 to 646 of the family's 3401-position model. Lineage: Eukaryota; Fungi; Neocallimastigomycota; Neocallimastigomycetes; Neocallimastigales. The record is from RNAcentral.